CUUGUCCGUGGGGUGUCUGGUAGGUUUUUGUUGUCAGUUGGUAGCGGUAAUGACACGCAGUGCGACAAGCAGAUAAAGAAACCUAACCAGCUUUUGGGGGGUGAUGCACCUCUAAACAGGCCACGGGGAUAUGGAAAA
Long non-coding RNA from Acanthaster planci (crown-of-thorns starfish), 138 nucleotides. RefSeq lists it as uncharacterized. Lineage: Eukaryota; Metazoa; Echinodermata; Asteroidea; Valvatida; Acanthasteridae. The record is from RefSeq and is a predicted model, not a curated record.